RNAcentral lists this ribosomal RNA (750 nucleotides) under Frigoribacterium sp. GTJR-13. RNAcentral's name for it is "bacterial SSU rRNA". It matches the Rfam family "Bacterial small subunit ribosomal RNA", at positions 49 to 814 of the family's 1533-position model. Lineage: Bacteria; Bacillati; Actinomycetota; Actinomycetes; Micrococcales; Microbacteriaceae. The record is from RNAcentral.
UUACCAUGCAGUCGAACGAUGAACUCCAGCUUGCUGGGGGGAUUAGUGGCGAACGGGUGAGUAACACGUGAGUAACCUGCCCUUGACUCUGGGAUAAGCGCUGGAAACGGCGUCUAAUACCGGAUACGAGCUUCAGCCGCAUGGCUAGGAGUUGGAAAGAAUUUUGGUCAAGGAUGGACUCGCGGCCUAUCAGCUAGUUGGUGAGGUAAUGGCUCACCAAGGCGACGACGGGUAGCCGGCCUGAGAGGGUGACCGGCCACACUGGGACUGAGACACGGCCCAGACUCCUACGGGAGGCAGCAGUGGGGAAUAUUGCACAAUGGGCGAAAGCCUGAUGCAGCAACGCCGCGUGAGGGACGACGGCCUUCGGGUUGUAAACCUCUUUUAGUAGGGAAGAAGCGAAAGUGACGGUACCUGCAGAAAAAGCACCGGCUAACUACGUGCCAGCAGCCGCGGUAAUACGUAGGGUGCAAGCGUUGUCCGGAAUUAUUGGGCGUAAAGAGCUCGUAGGCGGUUUGUCGCGUCUGCUGUGAAAUCUGGGGGCUCAACCCCCAGCCUGCAGUGGGUACGGGCAGACUAGAGUGCGGUAGGGGAGAUUGGAAUUCCUGGUGUAGCGGUGGAAUGCGCAGAUAUCAGGAGGAACACCGAUGGCGAAGGCAGAUCUCUGGGCCGUAACUGACGCUGAGGAGCGAAAGCAUGGGGAGCGAACAGGAUUAGAUACCCUGGUAGUCCAUGCCGUAAACGUUGGGA